Molecule: ribosomal RNA, 219 nt
Filed under: uncultured bacterium
Lineage: Bacteria
Description: partial 16S ribosomal RNA
Rfam family: Bacterial small subunit ribosomal RNA
Source: RNAcentral
GCCUCCCUCCGCGCCAUCAGACUCCUACGGAGGGCAGCAGUAGGGAAUAUUGCACAAUGGAGGAAACUCUGAUGCAGCGACGCCGCGUGUGUGAAGAAGGCCUUCGGGUUGUAAAGCACUUUCAGCGAGGAGGAAGGCGUUGCAGUUAAUAGCUGCAACGAUUGACGUUACUCGCAGAAGAAGCACCGGCUAACUCCGUGCCAGCAGCCGCGGUAAUUC